GUGAAAUUGAGUAAGGCGGGGCACGUGAAACCUUGUCUGAACAUGGGGGGACCAUCCUCCAAGGCUAAAUACUCCUGACUGACCGAUAGCGAACUAGUACCGUGAGGGAAAGGCGAAAAGAACCCCGGAGAGGGGAGUGAAAUAGACCCUGAAACCGUAUACGUACAAGCAGUGGAAGCCCGCAAGGGUGACUGCGUACCUUUUGUAUAAUGGGUCAGCGACUUACUGUCAGUGGCAAGCUUAACCGUAUAGGGGAGGCGAAGAGAAAUCGAGUCUGAAUAGGGCGCAUAGUCUCUGGCAGUAGACCCGAAACCGAGUGAUCUAUCCUUGGCCAGGUUGAAGGUGCGGUAACACGCACUGGAGGACCGAACCCACAUCUGUUGCAAUAGAUGGGGAUGAGCUGAGGAUAGGAGUGAAAGGCUAAACAAACUCGGAGAUAGCUGGUUCUCCUCGAAAGCUAUUUAGGUAGCGCCUCGGACGAAUCUUCCUGGGGGUAGAGCACUGUUAUGGCUAGGGGGUCAUCGCGACUUACCAAACCAUGGCAAACUCCGAAUACCAGGACAGACUAUCCGGGAGACACACGGCGGGUGCUAACGUCCGUCGUGAAAAGGGAAACAACCCAGACCCGCAGCUAAGGUCCCAAAGUCAUAGCUAAGUGGAAAACGAUGUGGAAAGGCAUAGACAGCCAGGAGGUUGGCUUAGAAGCAGCCAUCCUUUAAAGAAAGCGUAAUAGCUCACUGGUCGAGUCGGUCUGCGCGGAAGAUUUAACGGGGCUAAGCUAUGCACCGAAGCUCGGGGUGUGCACGCAAGUGCACGCGGUAGAGGAGCGUUCCGUAAGCCUGUGAAGGUGGAUUGUAAAGUCUGCUGGAGGUAUCGGAAGUGCGAAUGCUGACAUGAGUAACGAUAAUGGGGGUGAAAAGCCCCCACGCCGAAAGCCCAAGGUUUCCUCGCGCAACGUUCAUCGGCGCAGGGUGAGUCGGCCCCUAAGGCGAGGCAGAAAUGCGUAGUCGAUGGGAAGCUGGUUAAUAUUCCAGCACUUUUCUACAGUGCGAUGUGGGGACGGAGAAAGUUAGGUCUACCGGGCGUUGGUUGUCCCGGGGAAAGGCGGUAGGCAUGGAUCUUAGGCAAAUCCGGGAUCCUUUAUGCCGAGCACCGAGACGAGCCCUUUUGGGCGAAGUGACCGAUACUACGCUUCCAGGAAAAGCCACUAAGCUUCAGCUGUAGAAAAACCGUACCGUAAACCGACACUGGUAGGCAGGGUGAGAAUCCCAAGGCGCUUGAGAGAACUCGGGUGAAGGAACUAGGCAAAAUGGCACCGUAACUUCGGGAGAAGGUGCGCCC
This 1341-nucleotide ribosomal RNA is filed under the name Rhodanobacter sp. FW104-R5. Its description in RNAcentral is "bacterial LSU rRNA". It matches the Rfam family "Bacterial large subunit ribosomal RNA", at positions 402 to 1753 of the family's 2925-position model. Lineage: Bacteria; Pseudomonadati; Pseudomonadota; Gammaproteobacteria; Lysobacterales; Rhodanobacteraceae. The record is from RNAcentral.